Molecule: ribosomal RNA, 464 nt
Filed under: uncultured bacterium
Lineage: Bacteria
Description: partial 16S ribosomal RNA
Rfam family: Bacterial small subunit ribosomal RNA
Source: RNAcentral
GACGAAUGCUGGCGGCGUGCUUAACACAUGCAAGUCGAACGGAAAGGCCCUGCUUGCAGGGUACUCGAGUGGCGAACGGGUGAGUAACACGUGGGUGAUCUGCCCUGCACUUCGGGAUAAGCCUGGGAAACUGGGUCUAAUACCGGAUAGGAGCCAUUUUUAGUGUGAUGGUUGGAAAGUUUUUUCGGUGUAGGAUGAGCUCGCGGCCUAUCAGCUUGUUGGUGGGGUAAUGGCCUACCAAGGCGGCGACGGGUAGCCGGCCUGAGAGGGUGGACGGCCACAUUGGGACUGAGAUACGGCCCAGACUCCUACGGGAGGCAGCAGUGGGGAAUAUUGCACAAUGGGCGCAAGCCUGAUGCAGCGACGCCGCGUGGGGGAUGACGGCCUUCGGGUUGUAAACUCCUUUCGCUAGGGACGAAGCUUUUGUGACGGUACCUGGAUAAGAAGCACCGGCUAACUACGUG